Molecule: long non-coding RNA, 621 nt
Organism: Nycticebus coucang (slow loris)
Lineage: Eukaryota; Metazoa; Chordata; Mammalia; Primates; Lorisidae
Exons: 2
Source: RefSeq, a predicted model, not a curated record
UGUCACUACUGCAGUGGCCCCAGGGCGCUCUCGGAGAGGAGCUGCAGGAGCUGCCGCCCCGCAGGCCCAGGCCGGCCAGUUGGCUGGAGAACUUAAGCCAGAUCCACAAGUAUGUGGGAAAGUUCCUCAGCAGCAGCUUGAAGAAAUUUAUAAACAAGAAAACUGAGAACGCCACGAACCUCUCCCCACCGACCGCCAAGAACCUCUCCCCACCGACCGCCAAGAACCUCUCCCCACCGACCGCCAAGAACCUCUCCCAACCAAAUGCCACGAACCUCUCCCCACCGAACACCAAGAACCUCUCCCCGCCGAACGCCACGAAAGUCUAGGCACUGAACGCGUAGAGCCUCCACCAGCCACCUCUUCCCGGGGCCCCAGGUAGGAGAGCACAGACACUGCUGGAACCUAGGAACUGGGGGCAGCUUGGGUUGGAGUGAGAGGAAGCUCUUGCGGGUUGAGGUACUAGUGCCCCAGGGACUUCCUUCUCCUAACUAGCUGGACCUUGACCUCCAGACACCUGAUCCACUAGAUCUCACCGCCCACCAACACCUUUAUAUUGUGAAAAGGGCCUCAACUCCACCCCACCCCCUCAGUACAAACAAUAAAAAGACACAAAAUCUC